CCUACGGGUGGCAGCAGUGAGGAAUAUUGGUCAAUGGGCGAGAGCCUGAACCAGCCAAGUCGCGUGAGGGAAGACGGUCCUAUGGAUUGUAAACCUCUUUUGCCGGGGAGCAAAAAGCGGUACGUGUACCGCAUCGCGAGUACCCGGACGAACAGCAUCGGCUAACUACGUGACAGCAGCCGCGGUAAUACGGAGGAUUCGAGCGUUAUCCGGAUUUAUUGGGUUUAAAGGGUGCGUAGGCUGUCGGAUAAGUUGGAGGUCAAAUGUAGGGGCUUAACCCCGUGACUGCCUCUGAUACUGUUCGACGAGAGAGCGGAUGCAGCAGGCGGAAUGAGUAGUGUAGCGGUGAAAUGCUUAGAUAUUA
This 364-nucleotide ribosomal RNA is filed under the name uncultured bacterium. Its description in RNAcentral is "partial 16S ribosomal RNA". It matches the Rfam family "Bacterial small subunit ribosomal RNA", at positions 338 to 699 of the family's 1533-position model. The record is from RNAcentral.